This 971-nucleotide ribosomal RNA is filed under the name uncultured organism. RNAcentral's name for it is "bacterial SSU rRNA". It matches the Rfam family "Bacterial small subunit ribosomal RNA", at positions 152 to 1112 of the family's 1533-position model. The record is from RNAcentral.
GGAAACGGGAAUUAAUACUCCAUAAUGUACUAAAAUCACAUGGUUUAAGAAUUAAAGCUCCGGCGGUUAAGGAUGGGCAUAUGUGACAUUAGUUUGUUGGUGAGGUAACGGCUCACCAAGACUACGAUGUCUAGGGGGUCUGAGAGGAUGAUCCCCCACACUGGUACUGAGACACGGACCAGACUCCUACGGGAGGCAGGCGAGAGGAAAAAUAGUCGAUCAGUGGGAGCCAGCCAGAACCAGACAUGCCGCGUGCAGGAUGACUGCCCUACGGGUAGUAAACUGCUUUUGUACGAGAAGAACCUUCCGAACGUGUACGGGACUGACGGUAUCGUACGAAUAAGGAUCGGCUAACUCCGUGCCAGCAGCCGCGGUAAUACGGAGGAUCCAAGCGUUAUCCGGAUUCAUUGGGUUUAAAGGGUGCGCAGGCGGAAUAGUAAGUCAGUGGUGAAAUCCUGCAGCUUAACUGUAGAAUUGCCAUUGAUACUGCUAUUCUUGAGUAUAGUUGAGGUGGGCGGAAAUGUGUAAUGUAGCGGUGAAAUGCAUAGAUAUUACACAGAACGCCAUUUGCGAAGGCAGGCUUCACUAAACUAUAACUGACGCUGAGGCACGAAAGCGUGUGGAGCGAACAGGAUUAGAUACCCUGGGUAGUCCACGGCUGUAAACGAUUGAUCACUAGGCUGUUGGCAAUACCCAGUCAGGCGGCUGAGCGAAAGCGUUAACUGAUCCACCUUGGGGAGUACGUCCGCAAGAAUGAAACUCAAAGGAAUUGACGGGGGCCCGCACAAGCGGUGGGAACAUGUGCUUUAAUUCGAUGCUACGCGAGGAACCUUACCCGGGCUUAAAUGCAGGACGACGUUCCGGGAAACUGGACUCCCUUCGGGGCGGACUGCACGGUGCUGCAUGGCUGUCGUCAGCUCGUGCCUUGAGGUGUCGGGUUAAGUCCCAUAACGAGCGCAACCCCUAUUGUU